UCAAUAAGCGGAGGAAAAGAAACUAACAAGGAUUCCCCUAGUAACUGCGAGUGAAGCGGGAAAAGCUCAAAUUUGAAAUCUGGCAGUCUUUGAUUGUCCGAGUUGUAAUCUAGAGAAGUGUUACCCGCGUUGGACCGUGUAUAAGUCUCCUGGAAUGGAGCGUCAUAGAGGGUGAGAAUCCCGUCUUUGACACGGACUACCAAGGCUUUUGUGGUAUGCUCUCAAAGAGUCGAGUUGUUUGGGAAUGCAGCUCAAAAUGGGUGGUAAAUGCCAUCUAAAGCUAAAUACAGGCGAGAGACCGAUAGCGAACAAGUACCGUGAGGGAAAGAUGAAAAGAACUUUGGAAAGAGAGUUAAACAGUACGUGAAAUUGCUGAAAGGGAAACGCUUGAAGUCAGUCGCGUUGGCUGGAAAUCAACCUUUGCUUUUGCUGGGUGUACUUUCUAGUCGACGGGUCAGCAUCAGUUUUGACCAGUGGAUAAAGGCAUAAGAAAUGUGGCUCCUUUGGGAGUGUUAUAGUYCUUUGUUGUAUACAUUGGUUGGGACUGAGGAACUCAGCACGCCGCAAGGCCGGGGUUCGCCCACGUACGUGCUUAGGAUGCUGGCAAAAUGGCUUUAAUCGACCCGUCUUGAAACACGGACCAAGGAGUCUAACAUGCCUGCGAGUGUUUGGGUGGAAAACCCGAGCGCGUAAUGAAAGUGAAAGUUGAGAUCCCUGUCGUGGGGAGCAUCGACGCCCAGACCAGACCUUUUGUGACGGAUCUGCGGUAGAGCAUGUAUGUUGGGACCCGAAAGAUGGUGAACUAUGCCUGAAUAGGGUGAAGCCAGAGGAAACUCUGGUGGAGGCUCGUAGCGAUUCUGACGUGCAAAUCGAUCGUCAAAUUUGGGUAUAGGGGCGAAAGACUAAUCGAACCAU
RNAcentral lists this ribosomal RNA (915 nucleotides) under Crepidotus sp. TJB 8496. RNAcentral's name for it is "eukaryotic LSU rRNA". It matches the Rfam family "Eukaryotic large subunit ribosomal RNA", at positions 43 to 943 of the family's 3401-position model. Lineage: Eukaryota; Fungi; Basidiomycota; Agaricomycetes; Agaricales; Crepidotaceae. The record is from RNAcentral.